GCUGCCUCAGCCUGGUCCACUGAACAGGGACAGCGAUUCCUGACUUCUACGAGGACGGCCUUUUAAUUCUUUUCAUAGCCUUCCUGGGAGGACCACCCUUCAGAUUGCCAUCACAUCUAGGAGAACUCAUCCUCCACAACAUAACGGACUCCAAGCUCUUGGUGCAGCAGGGAGGAAGCCAUGGCCGGAACCUGAGGGUGUGGCGUGUGGAACCAGGACAGUGGUGCUUCUGAAUUCCAGAGGGCCCCGUGUUGGCCUUCCAAGGGGAGCCUGCUCUGACUUUUGGAUGCCAAGUACCAUGUCGUGGUUGCCCUCUCUGCUGCCUCCUUCUGCUCACAGCCCAGUGUUCCUGACGAGAAGAAGCCACCUGCAUGUGUGCCCUCACCACAACCUGUCCAGACUCCAGGACUGACAAGGUAGAGUCUCCAAGGAGCAGGCCUCCUGCAGACACAAAGGUCUCAGGUGGGGAAGAGAAAACCUCCAGAAAGACUGGACACGGUGUCUGGUUCUUGGCUGGAAAGUCUUCCUUUUCACCUGGCCUGAGUGUUGGGGCUGUAAGAUCCUGAGGCCAGGACUUCUUGUCUCCUUCGAUGGCCAUUUCUUCCUGCGCAUUCUCCACUCAUUUGCUUCCCUGGUCCUUGCAACAGCGCCAUCUCAAUCUAUUUGGAUCUUGAGCUGCAGCAAGAGAUUCUGUUGUAAAUUUGCAUACAGAGGAGUCUAAUUAUGUUAAUCUAUUUGGUUUCUACA
Molecule: non-coding RNA, 747 nt
Organism: Heterocephalus glaber (naked mole-rat)
Lineage: Eukaryota; Metazoa; Chordata; Mammalia; Rodentia; Bathyergidae
Source: RefSeq, a predicted model, not a curated record